AUACAGAUCACCUGGGGAUCUUGUUAAAAUGCAGAUCCUGAUUCAAGAUGUCUUGGAUGGGGUCUGAGAGUCUGCAUUUCUAACAAGGUUCUACAUAAUGACAAU
Molecule: microRNA precursor, 105 nt
Filed under: Marmota monax (woodchuck)
Lineage: Eukaryota; Metazoa; Chordata; Mammalia; Rodentia; Sciuridae
Rfam family: mir-544 microRNA precursor family
Source: RNAcentral